GAUGAAGAACGCAGCGAAAUGCGAUAAGUAGUGUGAAUUGCAGAAUUCAGUGAAUCAUCGAAUCUUUGAACGCACAUUGCGCCCCUUGGUAUUCCAUGGGGCAUGCCUGUUCGAGCGUCAUUUGUACCUUCAAGCUCUGCUUGGUGUUGGGUGUUUGUCCUUGCUCUAGUGGCGGGACUCGCCUUUAAGUAAUUGGCAGCCAGUGUUUUGGUUUUGAAGCGCAGCACAAGUCGCGAUUCAAGUCUAUACGCUAGUUUCCACAAGUCUUUUAUCACUUUUGACCUCGUAUCAGGUAGGGAUACCCGCUGAACUUAAGCAUAUCAAUAAGCGGAGGA
This 335-nucleotide unclassified non-coding RNA is filed under the name soil metagenome. RNAcentral describes it as "partial contains 5.8S ribosomal RNA, internal transcribed spacer 2, and large subunit ribosomal RNA". The stretch from base 1 to 120 matches the Rfam family "5.8S ribosomal RNA", at positions 35 to 154 of the family's 154-position model. The record is from RNAcentral.